CCUACGGGUGGCUGCAGUGGGGAAUAUUGGACAAUGGGCGAAAGCCUGAUCCAGCCAUGCCGCGUGUGUGAAGAAGGCCUUCGGGUUGUAAAGCACUUUCAGUGGGGAAGAAAGCCUUGGGGCUAAUACCCUCGAGGAAGGACAUCACCCACAGAAGAAGCACCGGCUAACUCCGUGCCAGCAGCCGCGGUAAUACGGAGGGUGCGAGCGUUAAUCGGAAUUACUGGGCGUAAAGCGCGCGUAGGCGGUCUGAUAAGCCGGUUGUGAAAGCCCCGGGCUCAACCUGGGAACGGCAUCCGGAACUGUCAGGCUAGAGUGCAGGAGAGGAAGGUAGAAUUCCCGGUGUAGCGGUGAAAUGCGUAGAGAUCGGGAGGAAUACCUGUGGCGAAGGCGGCCUUCUGGACUGACACUGACGCUGAGGUGCGAAAGCGUGGGUAGCAAACAGGAUUAGAUACCCCAGUAGUC
Molecule: ribosomal RNA, 465 nt
Filed under: Vreelandella stevensii
Lineage: Bacteria; Pseudomonadati; Pseudomonadota; Gammaproteobacteria; Oceanospirillales; Halomonadaceae
Description: partial 16S ribosomal RNA
Rfam family: Bacterial small subunit ribosomal RNA
Source: RNAcentral